CGUCAUCGUGCGUUCUGCGACGGUAGCGCGCGCAGCGGUCUUUAGUCUGGUGUUUAACCCUUCCAGCUCAACCUAAGUCCACUGUGAAACUGGGUGACUUGAAUACAGAAGAGGAAAGUGGAAUUCCACGUGUAUCGGUGAAAUGCGUACAUAUGUGGAGGAACACCAGUGGCGAAGGCGACUUUCUGGGCUGUAACUGACGCUGAGGCGCGAAAGCGUGGGGAGCAAACAGGAUUAGAUACCCUGGUAGUCCACGCCGUAAACGAUGAGUGCUAGGUGUUAGGGGUUUUUAUACCCUUGGUGCCCAAAUUAACACAAUAAACACUCCCCCUGGGGAGUACGGUCCCAAAACUGAAACUCAAAGGAAUUUACGGGGACCCCCACAAGCCGUGGAAUAUGUGGUUUAAUUUUAAGCAACGCGAAAAACCUUACCCGGUGUUGACAUCCCUCUGAAACCGCUAAAAAUAACCGCUGCCCUCUGGACAGAAGAUACAGGUGGUGCAUGGUUGUCUUCCCCUCCUGUCUUGAGAUAUUUUGGUUAAAUCCCCCAACGAACCCAAACCAAAAAA
Molecule: ribosomal RNA, 569 nt
Filed under: uncultured bacterium
Lineage: Bacteria
Description: bacterial SSU rRNA
Rfam family: Bacterial small subunit ribosomal RNA
Source: RNAcentral